UGGAAACGAACUGCUAAUACCGCAUAACGUAUCGGGAUGGCAUCUUCCUGAUACCAAAGAUUUUAUCGCUUAGAGAUGGGCUCGCGUCUGAUUAGAUAGUUGGCGGGGUAACGGCCCACCAAGUCGACGAUCAGUAGCCGGACUGAGAGGUUGAACGGCCACAUUGGGACUGAGACACGGCCCAGACUCCUACGGGAGGCAGCAUG
Molecule: ribosomal RNA, 206 nt
Filed under: uncultured bacterium
Lineage: Bacteria
Description: partial 16S ribosomal RNA
Rfam family: Bacterial small subunit ribosomal RNA
Source: RNAcentral